GACGAACGCUGGCGGCGUGCUUAACACAUGCAAGUCGAACGGAAAGUCCCUGCUUUUGUGGGGUUCUCGAGUGGCGAACGGGUGAGUAACACGUGAGUAACCUGCCCUUGACUUUGGGAUAACUUCAGGAAACUUGGUCUAAUACCGGAUUGGAGCUCCUGCUGCUUGGUGGGGGUUGGAAAGUUUCGGCGGUUGGGGAUGGACUCGCGGCUUAUCAGCUUGUUGGUGGGGUAGUGGCUUACCAAGGCUUUGACGGGUAGCCGGCCUGAGAGGGUGACCGGCCACAUUGGGACUGGGAUACGGCCCCGAAUCCUACGGGAGGCAGCAGUGGGGAAUAUUGCAAAAUGGGAGGAAGCCUGAUGCAGAAAAGCCGCGUGCGGGAUGACGGCCUUCGGGUUGUAAACCGCUUUCGCCUGUGACGAAGCGUGAGUGACGGUAACGGGUAAAGAAGCACCGGCUAACUACGUG
Molecule: ribosomal RNA, 468 nt
Filed under: uncultured bacterium
Lineage: Bacteria
Description: partial 16S ribosomal RNA
Rfam family: Bacterial small subunit ribosomal RNA
Source: RNAcentral